RNAcentral lists this ribosomal RNA (397 nucleotides) under uncultured bacterium. RNAcentral's name for it is "bacterial SSU rRNA". It matches the Rfam family "Bacterial small subunit ribosomal RNA", at positions 32 to 416 of the family's 1533-position model. The record is from RNAcentral.
AAUCAACGCUGGCGGCGUGCCUAACACAUGCAAGUCGAACGCGAAAAUUCCCUUCGGGAAUGAGUAGAGUGGCGUCCGGGUGAGUAACGCGUGGGUAAUCUACCUUCGGGUGGGGAAUAACCCAGGGAAACUUGGGCUAAUACCGCAUAAUAGCAGCGGCUCGACAUCGAGAUAGUUGUUAAAGCAGCAAUGCGCCUGAAGAAGAGCCUGCGUCUGAUUAGCUUUGNGGUAGGGUAACGGCCUACCAAGGCUGCGAUCAGUAGCUGGUCUGGAGAGGACGGCCCAGCCACAAUGGCACUGAAACACGGGGCCAUACUCCUACGGGGAGGCAGCAGUGGGGAAUUUUCCGCAAUGGGCGAAAGCCUGACGGAGUGACGCCGCGUGUGGGACGAAGGCC